Molecule: long non-coding RNA, 296 nt
Filed under: Trifolium pratense (red clover)
Lineage: Eukaryota; Viridiplantae; Streptophyta; Magnoliopsida; Fabales; Fabaceae
Description: long non-coding RNA (TPRA_LNC013991)
Source: RNAcentral
CAUGAUAAAUUAUAGACACAAUACAUUAAAAUAUUUUAUUUAUAUCAUCUCGCUGGAACUUCUUAACAUCUCAUUCGCUUUCAUCACUAUUGAGCCUUGAAGUGCGGAAAUGAUGGAUGAUGCCUCGAUUAGAAAUCUGACAGCAAUCAACUCAGUGGAUCGUAGAAAAGGCUCUGAGAUCAUCUUAGAAUUGAGAGUAAGACUUAACUUAACCCUACAAAAUCAGCUUGUAAGGUGAGAAUUGCUCUCACUUAUAAACAUAUGUUCAGGUCCUCUUAAAAUAUUUUCAUUUUAAA